Molecule: ribosomal RNA, 401 nt
Filed under: uncultured bacterium
Lineage: Bacteria
Description: bacterial SSU rRNA
Rfam family: Bacterial small subunit ribosomal RNA
Source: RNAcentral
AGCGAACGCUGGCGGCGUGCUUAACACAUGCAAGUCGAGCGAAGGUGUUUCAAGGGUAACCUUGAGAUACACUUAGCGGCGGACGGGUGAGUAAUACGUGGAUAACUUACCUCUAGGCCUGGGAUAACCCCGGGAAACUGGGGCUAAUACCUGAUAAGACCACGUUGUCUACGGACAAAGGGGUAAAAGGUGGCUGUGCAAACAGCUAUCGCCAAAAGAUAGGUUCACGUCCCAUCAGGCAGUUGGGAGGUAAUGGCUCACCAAACCAAAGACGGGUAGCCGGCCUUGGCGGGUGAACGGCCACACGGGGACUGAGACACGGCCCCGACUCCUACGGGAGGCAGCAGUGGGGAAGUAUUGGGCAAUGGGCGCAAGCCUGACCCAGCGACGUCGCGUUGGGG